CAUCUAUCCAUCCAUACAUCAGUUCACUCGACACUUGCAUGAGUUGUAUUUAAGGCUGUAGCACAGAAUCUGCUAUGAUGAUACCCUGGAGAUCUUUCUAUUUAUCAUUAUUGUUUACCACAGGCUGAAAAAUGACAAAUCAUUGGCCACCAAGGAGGAUCAGCUGGAGAAGCAGACAGAAAGGACUGGCCCCUCUCUAUUUCUUGAUGCCUCCCCAUUGCUAGUGUUGAAGAAUUUGGUAUUAACUAGCCCUUUUCCUUUCAAAUGUGAAUUUGUUUGUAUAAUGGUGGGGUCACAUUUAUACAUCCAUAUUGCCAGGGAUCCAAAAGUAAACACUUUGUAUUCAAGGGCAGAUAUUCCAGGACAAGGAGAGAAAUUUCAGCCAGCAUAUUUGACAGUGCUUGAGCCUGACAUCUUGAAGAUAUAACAAAAUUCAUAGAGUGGAUUCUUUCAAGGGGAAAGUGGACAAGGACCAGUAAAACAAGGAGCAUCCCAGUCAAUCUCCAUGCUCAUCAGAUGAACUGGGAUAAAUUCUGAGUCCAGUACCAAAUUUCUGAGUCAUAACUGUCUGGAUCCUUGAUCAGAUGUGAGGCCUGAUGUGAGGACAGAAGCUUCCGACUUAGUCAAAGUAAUUUGGAGUGAGAACAAAACUGAAUCACCUCGAGAAUCUUCCUUCUCACAAUAUUUGGUGAUUGGAGUGGAGGAGGGAAGUUGGCUGCCAUAUUAAGAGGAGGAAGAAACUAAUAUUAAAGAUGCGGCAUGGGGCUUCCCUGGUGGUCAGUGGUAAGGGUGGCUCACCCCUCCCCUCCCACACUGUACUGGAGUUGAUCCACGUGACCAGUAGAAUGCAGAGUGAUGGUAUGGGGCUUCUGUGGCUAGGUCAUAAAGGCAUGUGGCUUCCACCUCUCUCUUAGAUCAUUCAGUCUGGGGGAGUCAGCCCUGUUGAGAGAGCUGAGGCAAGGAACUAAGCCCUCCUGCCAACAGGCCUGUGAGUGAGUGGAGUCGUCCUAGGAGCAGACCGUCCCGCCCCAGUCAAGCCUUGAGACCUUGUGAAGCAGCUUCAAGGACUUGGCAGAGAUGAGGUGAAGCUAACAGCAUUCUAAAGUAAUGGCAAAGAAACAACUAAAAAAAGGGACAGUGUUUCUAGUUGAAAUUGGAAAGCUGAUGACAAAUAACAAGACCUCUGCUGGGACAAAGGAUUGUUGGUAUCAUAUGUGGAGCUAUGACAUAUACACCAUGGGGAAAUAGCUGAAGCCAUCAAAGUGUGGACACCGCUGGCUGGAGGAUUUUAUCAGCCACCUUGGCAGCCCAGGUGUGGUCAUCACCUACCUGUGUUCUUGAGUCUAUCUCAGAAGGAGAAAGACAGCCAGGAGUGAUUCUUCUGCCAGUUCUGGAAUGGACUCGACCUAGGUUCUGUUGGGCAUAACUAGCAAUUGAACUUUUCUUCCCCAGUUACCCAUGCAGUGGGAAGUAAAACGGCAUAGUUUUCUCUGAGGUCAUUUUUUGAAUUAAUAAAUCAGAUUGAUUCAGAGCGUU
Molecule: non-coding RNA, 1536 nt
Organism: Odocoileus virginianus texanus
Lineage: Eukaryota; Metazoa; Chordata; Mammalia; Artiodactyla; Cervidae
Source: RefSeq, a predicted model, not a curated record